AUUGAACGCUGGCGGCAGGCUUAACACAUGCAAGUCGAGCGGGGUGAUGGUGCUUGCACUAUCACUUAGCGGCGGACGGGUGAGUAAUGCUUAGGAAUCUGCCUAUUAGUGAGGGACAACAUCUCGAAAGGGAUGCUAAUACCGCAUACGUCCUACGGGAGAAAGCAGGGGAUCACUUGUGACCUUGCGCUAAGAGAUGAGCCUAAAUCGGAUUAGCUAGUUGGUGGGGUAAAGGCCUACCAAGGCGACGAUCUGUAGCGGGUCUGAGAGGAUGAUCCGCCACACUGGGACUGAGACACGGCCCAGACUCCUACGGGAGGCAGCAGUGGGGAAUAUUUGACAAUGGGGGGAACCCUGAUCCAGCCAUGCCGCGUGUGUGAAGAAGGCCUUAUGGUUGUAAAGCACUUUAAGCGAGGAGGAGGCUCUUUUGGUUAAUACCCAAGAUGAGUGGACGUUACUCGCAGAAUAAGCACCGGCUAACUCUGUGCCAGCAGCCGCCGUAA
Molecule: ribosomal RNA, 503 nt
Filed under: uncultured bacterium
Lineage: Bacteria
Description: partial 16S ribosomal RNA
Rfam family: Bacterial small subunit ribosomal RNA
Source: RNAcentral